ACCUAUCACUUGUAUGACAGUAGCAAACAAUUCCAUUAUAUUGACGAUUAUGUAUAAACAAAACAAACCGACAUAAUAAGUACACAUGUAAAACAUAGUAGUACAGCAGUCAACAUUGUGUUACAAUCUUAAUAAACAAAAAAACAAAGAUAAAUGAAAAGGAAUAAAUACAAAGCAUAUUGGCAAAAACGGACACCAAAAAUACAAUUAAUUAUAAUUAAAAAAAAUUAUAAUGUGAUCAUAGAAUUCAUAAGAACCGAGAGCCA
This 266-nucleotide long non-coding RNA is filed under the name Mytilus galloprovincialis (Mediterranean mussel). Lineage: Eukaryota; Metazoa; Mollusca; Bivalvia; Mytilida; Mytilidae. The record is from RNAcentral.